Molecule: long non-coding RNA, 129 nt
Organism: Centruroides sculpturatus (bark scorpion)
Lineage: Eukaryota; Metazoa; Arthropoda; Arachnida; Scorpiones; Buthidae
Exons: 2
Source: RefSeq, a predicted model, not a curated record
GCUCACGCUAAUAUAACGCAUAAUGCUGCAAUUGAUAAUGGAUUAAAAUCUACUGAUGAUUCACCUCCAAGGAUGGAUAAAUGUUUGGAAGAAUUUUUUUCAGUUUGUAAUCAGAUUGAACUUAAUCUG